Molecule: unclassified non-coding RNA, 1615 nt
Filed under: Leishmania donovani
Lineage: Eukaryota; Euglenozoa; Kinetoplastea; Trypanosomatida; Trypanosomatidae
Description: gene:LdHU3.32.4050(CDS-product:Domain_of_unknown_ function_DUF21_putative)
Source: RNAcentral
GUGCAAACGCACCGAUUUGGCGCCGUUGGGAAAGUUUGCGAAGAGGUGCAUUGUGCGUGGUCUGAACGAAGAAGGAACAAGAAAGGGUAUCGUGGCCUAGAUUGCCGUGCCCUAGCGCCAUCUUCUGCAGCGCAAGCUGCGCCCUUAACUUCUGCGUUCUUCACACGCACAUAAGCAUCUCCAACAAAACUCAUGUACACAGUCUCACACACUUCCCCGAUGGCGAACGGCUACAGCGUACUCGGUGUGCCGGUUGACGUGUCGAUUUGGACGUUGAUGGUGAUUAUCACGGCGCUGGUGGUGCUAGCGGGGUUAAUGGCGGGCCUCAUCAUCAGCGUCUUCUCGCUCGACAAGGAUCGGCUGAAGGUGCUCGCACAGCGAUCGGAGACAGUGGAGGGGCAACGCGCGCGCCGGCUGCUGCUCGUCUUGCAGAAUCCGCACUGGGUACUCGUUACUCUCGUCGUUGUCGACUCCGCCGCAACUGAGAUGCUGCCGCUGUUGUUCAAUGUCCUUUUUUCCCCCGUCGAGGCAGUCAUCAUGUCCGUGAUCCUGCUGGUCGUCUGCGGGGAGAUCAUACCCGAAGCAGUGUUCACGCAUCACGCACUGGCGCUGGGCUCAGCGUUGGCUUAUCUAGUGCUGGUGCUAAUGGCAGUCACAGCACCAAUAUCGUGGCCCGUUGGGAAAGUGCUAGACUGGUGCGUUGGGAGCCGAUCAGGUGUCGCCUUCAAGCGUGGCCAGCUGCGCGAGGUGGUCCGAUAUCGAGCCGCCCAGCUUUAUGGCAUCCAUGGAGACGAUGACGACGAGACCGCGCCGCCGCGCGAGAGCAGCCUGGACACACGAGAGCCGCGCUUGAUGCACCAGCUUGAGACCCAAAUAAUGCUGGGGGUCUUGAGCCUAUCGGAGUACGUCGGGUCCUCUGUGUUGAAGAAGAGCAUUCGGGCAACUUUCACUGUCCAUCGUGACGCCGUUGUUAGCAAGCGGAUGGUACAGAGCAUGGUGACGCACAAACUAACUCACAUUCCCGUGUACAGCGACGUCGGAAACCCAUCUAACGUCACGCAAGUGUUGGAGCUUCGGCUUUUGCUCUUCUUUGCUUACUGCGAGGAAGGAGCUUCGAUUCGCAUCCGGGAUCUCCCACUCCUGCCGCUGCCUCGGUACAGCGCAGACACGCCGUGCAAUUUGCUUCUGGACUACCUCCGUGCUUCUCCUCUCCAGGUAGCCGCGCUCACGAGCCCAGAUAACGCUGCCAGCGUUGUUGGCAUCAUCUCAGCAUCGGACGUAGUGGAGCUUGUGCACAAAACCUCGUUCGAUACCGCCUACGUGGAGUCUCACCGGCCGCAGCAAGGCAGUGUCGUGCAGUCCUUUCGCGCACACAACGCCUCCAUGACUCACGAGACAAACCAGAUGUUACUGAACGACAUGAGCACGUGACGGCGAACGUGGAACGAAGCCGCGCCUGCAUGGUUUUGUCUAGUGUGCCUCUUUUCAUCAAUGUUGCCGCUGCUUUCCUAUUUGCUCACUCAAGUGCACUGGCGUUUAUCUUUUGUUUUGUGUUUGCUCUCUUGCGCUUUCCUCAUCACGUACCGCUGUCUCAGCGACAGCUGCUCCAAGGUUC